GGGAGUUUGUGUAACUGAAGCAAAGAUUUUGCUUUCUCACUUCUCGCCCCGUCUUGCGGAAAACAGCCUGAUGCUCUGGGCCUUGCUGAAAUGCCACAUCCUCCAGAAUGCCAUACUUAAUCUACAAAUUUGAAGCAAGUUUGCCUUCCCUACUCCACCUUUAUAACCCUUGAAGGCUUGAACCUUUUUAUUACAUAGCACUGUAUAUUAUAUACCUAAGUGCUUGU
Long non-coding RNA from Budorcas taxicolor (takin), 227 nucleotides. RefSeq lists it as uncharacterized. The transcript has 2 exons. The record is from RefSeq and is a predicted model, not a curated record. Lineage: Eukaryota; Metazoa; Chordata; Mammalia; Artiodactyla; Bovidae.